GGAGAGAUAGCUCAGCGGUUAAGAGCACUGACUGUUCUUCCAGGGGUCCUGAGUUCAAUUCCCAGCAACCACA
This 73-nucleotide transfer RNA is filed under the name Mus musculus (house mouse). RNAcentral describes it as "tRNA-Asn". The record is from RNAcentral. Lineage: Eukaryota; Metazoa; Chordata; Mammalia; Rodentia; Muridae.